This 459-nucleotide ribosomal RNA is filed under the name uncultured bacterium. RNAcentral's name for it is "partial 16S ribosomal RNA". It matches the Rfam family "Bacterial small subunit ribosomal RNA", at positions 338 to 795 of the family's 1533-position model. The record is from RNAcentral.
CCUACGGGUGGCAGCAGUGAGGAAUAUUGGUCAAUGGCCGGAAGGCUGAACCAGCCAAGCCGCGUGAGGGAGGAAGGCGCAGAGCGUCGCAGACCUCUUUUGUCGGGGGAUAAAAGGCCGGACUCGUCCGGUUCUGAGGGUACCCGGAGAAUAAGCAUCGGCUAACUCCGUGCCAGCAGCCGCGGUAAUACGGAGGAUGCGAGCGUUAUCCGGAUUCAUUGGGUUUAAAGGGUGCGAAGGCGGCCUUUAAGGCCGGCGUGAAAGUCGGGGGGUGCACCCUCGAAGAGCCGGGGGAACUGGGGGCCUUGAGUGCGGCGGAGGCAUGCGGAAUGCGCGGUGUAGCGGUGAAAUGCUUAGAUAUCGCGCAGAACCCCGAUUGCGAAGGCAGCGUGCCAUGCCGCCACUGACGCUGAGGCACGAAAGCGCGGGGAUCGAACAGGAUUAGAUACCCUUGUAGUC